Molecule: ribosomal RNA, 301 nt
Filed under: uncultured bacterium
Lineage: Bacteria
Description: partial 16S ribosomal RNA
Rfam family: Bacterial small subunit ribosomal RNA
Source: RNAcentral
CAGUCGCCGCGGGAAUACGUAGGUGGCAAGCGUUGUCCGGAAUUAUUGGGCGUAAAGGGCUCGCAGGCGGUUUCUUAAGUCUGAUGUAAAAGCCCCCGGCUCAACCGGGGAGGGUCAUUGGAAACUGGGAAACUUGAGUGCAGAAGAGGAGAGUGGAGUUCCACGUGUAGCGGUGAAAUGCGUAGAGAUGUGGAGGAACACCAGUGGCGAAGGCGACUCUCUGGUCUGUAACUGACGCUGAGGAGCGAAAGCGUGGGGAGCGAACAGGAUUAGAUACCCCCGUAGUCCCUGUCUCUUAUAC